This 489-nucleotide ribosomal RNA is filed under the name uncultured bacterium. RNAcentral's name for it is "bacterial SSU rRNA". It matches the Rfam family "Bacterial small subunit ribosomal RNA", at positions 37 to 507 of the family's 1533-position model. The record is from RNAcentral.
CGGACGACGCGUGGCGGCGUGGAUUAGGCAUGCAAGUCGAACGGUAUCAUCCUUUCGGGGGUGAGAGAGUGGCGAACUGGUGAGUAACACGUAGGUUAUCUACCCUCAAGACGGGGACAACCCAGGGAAACUUGGGCUAAUACCGGAUGUGAGCAACUUUUAGUUGUUUGAAAGGUGGCGUAAGCUGUCGCUUGGGGAUGAGCCUGCGUCCUAUUAGUUAGUUGGUGAGGUAACGGCUCACCUAGGCAAUGAUAGGUAGGCGGCCUUAACGGGUGGUCGCCCACACUGGGAUUGAGAUACGGCCCAGACUCCUACGGGAGGCAGCAGUCGAGAAUAGUCUACAAUGGUCGGAAGACUGAUAGUGCGACGCCGCGUGAACGAUGAAUCCCUUCGGGGUGUAAAGUUCUUUUAUAUGUGAGCAGUGCUUCUUAUAUUAACAGUAUGGGGAGAGAGAUAUUAGCAUAUGAAUAAGCAACGGCUAACUCCGUG